This 474-nucleotide ribosomal RNA is filed under the name uncultured bacterium. RNAcentral's name for it is "bacterial SSU rRNA". It matches the Rfam family "Bacterial small subunit ribosomal RNA", at positions 28 to 472 of the family's 1533-position model. The record is from RNAcentral.
GACGAACGCUGGCGGCGUGCUUAACACAUGCAAGUCGAACGAAGAGCGAUGGAAGCUUGCUUCUAUCAAUCUUAGUGGCGAACGGGUGAGUAACGCGUAAUCAACCUGCCCUUCAGAGGGGGACAACAGUUGGAAACGACUGCUAAUACCGCAUACGAUCUGACCUCGGCAUCGAGGAUAGAUGAAAGGUGGCCUCUACAUGUAAGCUAUCACUGAAGGAGGGGAUUGCGUCUGAUUAGCUAGUUGGAGGGGUAACGGCCCACCAAGGCGAUGAUCAGUAGCCGGUCUGAGAGGAUGAACGGCCACAUUGGGACUGAGACACGGCCCAGACUCCUACGGGAGGCAGCAGUGGGGAAUCUUCCGCAAUGGACGAAAGUCUGACGGAGCAACGCCGCGUGAGUGAUGACGGCCUUCGGGUUGUAAAGCUCUGUUAAUCGGGACGAAAGGCCUUUUUGCGAAUAGUGAGAAGGAUGA